GCGCCAGACUCCUACGGGAGGCAGCAGUCGGGAAUAUUGCGCAAUGGAGGAAACUCUGACGCAGUGACGCCGCGUAUAGGAAGAAGGUUUUCGGAUUGUAAACUAUUGUCAUUAGGGAAGAUAAAAGACUGUACCUAAGGAGGAAGCCCCGGCUAACUACGUGCCAGCAGCCGCGGUAAUACGUAGGGGGCAAGCGUUAUCCGGAUUUACUGGGUGUAAAGGGGGCGCAGACGGCGAUGCAAGCCAGGAGUGAAAGCCCGGGGCCCAACCCCAGGACUGCUCUUGGAACUGCGUGGCUGGAGUGCAGGAGGGGCAGGCGGAAUUCCUGGUGUAGCGGUGAAAUGCGUAGAUAUCAGGAGGAACACCGGCGGCGAAGGCGGCCUGCUGGACCGUGACUGACGUUGAGGCUCGAGAGCGUGGGGAGCAAACAGGAUUAGAUACCCUAGUACU
RNAcentral lists this ribosomal RNA (450 nucleotides) under uncultured bacterium. RNAcentral describes it as "bacterial SSU rRNA". It matches the Rfam family "Bacterial small subunit ribosomal RNA", at positions 328 to 794 of the family's 1533-position model. The record is from RNAcentral.